UUACUAGAAGUUGUUUAGAGAAAUAACUGGUUAUGAACCUAUCCAUAGAUGCACAUGGGUUGACCAACCAAAGUUGGGCUCGUGUGUAGUCUGUGUGGAUUCUAGUACCCACUAAGGAAUUAAAGUAAUUUUUCGAAUUGGAGGUUGAGGCUACCAGUUCGUUAAAAUAUUGGGAGAAACUUUAAACUAAAGUCCAAGUCUUUAGUAUU
RNAcentral lists this long non-coding RNA (209 nucleotides) under Elaeis guineensis (African oil palm). RNAcentral describes it as "long non-coding RNA (EGUI_LNC051548)". Lineage: Eukaryota; Viridiplantae; Streptophyta; Magnoliopsida; Arecales; Arecaceae. The record is from RNAcentral.